This 253-nucleotide ribosomal RNA is filed under the name uncultured bacterium. RNAcentral describes it as "partial 16S ribosomal RNA". It matches the Rfam family "Bacterial small subunit ribosomal RNA", at positions 524 to 776 of the family's 1533-position model. The record is from RNAcentral.
AACGUAGGUACCGAGCGUUAUCCGGAUUUACUGGGCGUAAAGCGCGUUCAGGCGGUUUGGCAAGUCGGGCAUGAAAUCUCUCGGCUCAACCGGGAGAGGUUGUCCGAUACUGCUGGACUUGAGGGCAGUAGAGGGUGGUGGAAUUCCGGGUGUAGUGGUGAAAUGCGCAGAUAUCAGGAGGAACACCGAUGGCGAAGGCAGGUCUCUGGGCAUUAGCUGACACUGAGGCGCGACAGCGUGGGGAGCAAACAGG